Molecule: small nucleolar RNA, 86 nt
Organism: Gossypium arboreum
Lineage: Eukaryota; Viridiplantae; Streptophyta; Magnoliopsida; Malvales; Malvaceae
Source: Rfam
UGCAAUCUAUGAUGGAAAUGAAUCAUCAGACCUGAUCUACCUGUGAUGAUUAUAUAAAUAAUCACCAUCUUUCGACUGAGAUUGCA